GGGUGCGAUCAUACCAGCACUAAUGCACCGGAUCCCAUCAGAACUCCGCAGUCAAGCGUGCUUGGGCGAGAGUAGUACUAGGAUGGGUGACCUCCUGGGAAGUCCUCGUGUUGCACCCCCUU
This 122-nucleotide ribosomal RNA is filed under the name Arabis alpina (gray rockcress). Lineage: Eukaryota; Viridiplantae; Streptophyta; Magnoliopsida; Brassicales; Brassicaceae. The record is from RNAcentral.